This 255-nucleotide ribosomal RNA is filed under the name uncultured bacterium. RNAcentral describes it as "partial 16S ribosomal RNA". It matches the Rfam family "Bacterial small subunit ribosomal RNA", at positions 524 to 776 of the family's 1533-position model. The record is from RNAcentral.
UACGAAGGGUGCAAGCGUUAAUCGGAAUUAUUGGGCGUAAAGGAUGCGUAGAUGGUGUAGUAAGUUAUCGGUGGCAAAUCGAGGCUCAACCUCGUGGAAGUCGGUAAUACUGCUAUGCUAGAGGAUAGGAGAGGUUAACGGAACUCCCUGUGGAGCGGUGAAAUGCGUAGAUAUAGGGAAGAACACCAAUCAGGCGAAGGCAGUUAACUAUUCUAUUCCUGACAUUGAGGCAUGAAAGCGUGGGGAGCAAAACGG